This is a long non-coding RNA of Sapajus apella (tufted capuchin), 326 nucleotides long. RefSeq lists it as uncharacterized. The record is from RefSeq and is a predicted model, not a curated record. Lineage: Eukaryota; Metazoa; Chordata; Mammalia; Primates; Cebidae. The transcript is spliced from 2 exons.
AAGUGAGCAUGGAAAUUUCAUUAUAACAUUAUUUGUUCUAAGAGUAUUAGGUGAGAAUAUAAAAAAUUUUUAGAAAAAAACCCCAUUAUUUGUAAUUGGGAUAAUUGGUGAACAACCGGUGUCAGUCAGAAGCUUAAAGAGGAAUCUAAAUGCAGAGUGGAUUUAUAAAUUACGCCUUCUCAAUAGCAUAUCCUUAUCCUUAAUAAUGAUAAAAAUAUAUGGGACAAUGACAAUGCUCAUGACAUACUGAUGGCAAAACUGUGCCUACAUUGUGAUGACAAUAAAAUAAGCUUAUAUUUGUUUAAAAGAUUUGGAAGGAAAUAUAA